GGGGGAUUGGCGCAAUGGUAGCGCGUGGCUCUCCUACUCAUUUCAUCUACCCUUCAUGGUAUAUUUGAUGAAACACCAAUGACCAUGGAUCAAAAAUGAAAUAGGAAAAAAGCCAAGGUUGUGGGUUCGAGUCCCAUGUUCCUCG
Fonsecaea pedrosoi CBS 271.37 is the source of this 145-nucleotide transfer RNA. It matches the Rfam family "tRNA". Rfam says of the family: Transfer RNA (tRNA) molecules are approximately 80 nucleotides in length. Their secondary structure includes four short double-helical elements and three loops (D, anti-codon, and T loops). Further hydrogen bonds mediate the characteristic L-shaped molecular structure. tRNAs have two regions of fundamental functional importance: the anti-codon, which is responsible for specific mRNA codon recognition, and the 3' end, to which the tRNAs corresponding amino acid is attached (by aminoacyl-tRNA synthetases). tRNAs cope with the degeneracy of the genetic code in two manners: having more than one tRNA (with a specific anti-codon) for a particular amino acid; and 'wobble' base-pairing, i.e. permitting non-standard base-pairing at the 3rd anti-codon position. NCBI's taxonomy places the organism in Eukaryota, Fungi, Ascomycota, Eurotiomycetes, Chaetothyriales, Herpotrichiellaceae. The record is from Rfam.